AGUGAACGCUGGCGGUAGGCCUAACACAUGCCAGUCGAACGGCAGCACAGUAAGAGCUUGCUCUUACGGGUGGCGAGUGGCGGACGGGUGAGGAAUACAUCGGAAUCUACUUUUUCGUGGGGGAUAACGUAGGGAAACUUACGCUAAUACCGCAUACGACCUACGGGUGAAAGCAGGGGAACUUCGGACCUUGCGCGAUUGAAUGAGCCGAUGUCGGAUUAGCUAGUUGGCGGGGUAAAGGCCCACCAAGGCGACGAUCCGUAGCUGGUCUGAGAGGAUGAUCAGCCACACUGGAACUGAGACACGGUCCAGACUCCUACGGGAGGCAGCAGUGGGGAAUAUUGGACAAUGGGCGCAAGCCUGAUCCAGCCAUACCGCGUGGGUGAAGAAGGCCUUCGGGUUGUAAAGCCCUUUUGUUGGGAAAGAAAAGCAGCAGGUUAAUACCCCGCUGUUCUGACGGUACCCAAAGAAUAAGCACCGGCUAACUUCGUG
This 492-nucleotide ribosomal RNA is filed under the name uncultured bacterium. RNAcentral's name for it is "partial 16S ribosomal RNA". It matches the Rfam family "Bacterial small subunit ribosomal RNA", at positions 29 to 507 of the family's 1533-position model. The record is from RNAcentral.